AAUGAACGCUGGCGGCGUGUCUUAAGCAUGCAAGUCGAGCGCAGGAAACCGUCUGAACCCUUCGGGGGGACGACGGCGGAAUGAGCGGCGGACGGGUGAGUAACACGUAAAGAACCUGCCCACGGGUCUGGGAUAACCACGAGAAAUCGGGGCGAAUACUGGACGGGUCAUCGGACCGCAUGGUCCGAGGAUGAAAGGCGCUCCGGCGUCGCCCGUGGAUGGCUUUGCGGUGCAUUAGCUAGUUGGUGGGGUAACGGCCCACCAAGGCGACGAUGCAUAGCCGACCUGAGAGGGUGAUCGGCCACACUGGGACUGAGACACGGCCCAGACUCCUACGGGAGGCAGCAGUAGGGAAUCUUCCACAAUGGACGAAAGUCUGAUGGAGCAACGCCGCGUGAACGAUGAAGGCCCUCGGGUCGUAAAGUUCUGUUGUAAGGGAAGAACAAGUGCCGCAGGCAAUGGCGGCACCUUGACGGUACCUUGCGAGAAAGCCACGGCUAACUACGUGCCAGCCGCCGCCGUAA
This 524-nucleotide ribosomal RNA is filed under the name uncultured bacterium. RNAcentral's name for it is "partial 16S ribosomal RNA". It matches the Rfam family "Bacterial small subunit ribosomal RNA", at positions 29 to 523 of the family's 1533-position model. The record is from RNAcentral.